Symphalangus syndactylus (siamang) is the source of this 4247-nucleotide long non-coding RNA. RefSeq lists it as uncharacterized. The record is from RefSeq and is a predicted model, not a curated record. NCBI's taxonomy places the organism in Eukaryota, Metazoa, Chordata, Mammalia, Primates, Hylobatidae.
GUCCCUGCUGACAACCUUCUAGACCCGCGGGGCGCAGCGGACCAGCCACUCCCCCUCCUUUUCCGCGGGUGCAGCUCCCGGGCCCAGCUACAGCGCCCGCACCCGCCCCGCGCACAGCUCCCGGCAGCCCCCGCGCCGCCGCCGCAGCUGGACCACAACUCCCGCCAUGCCGCGGGGCGCAGGGCGCCGGGGCGUGUGGCCCACAAGGCUUUGCGCGCCGGCGGGGCCGCUCUAGCCCGCGGUCCCGCAAGUUCGCGGCGGGCUGAUGAGGGCUCGGGGCGGGCGGCGCGGAAGUCCUGGCGGCUGCAGCGCCACGUGGUCGGUCUCCUCGUGUUCUCACUGCGGGGCGCCCCGGCUGCCCUUGCGUAGGGCCUGGCACGGGGCGGCCGAGGGGGCGUCCCCGCUGCAAGUCGCCGGGCGCGCUGGUCCGGGGAGGCCUGGCCGUUCACCCAGGGAGCCUGUCGUCCCCGGGCGUCUCGCGUUCCCGGGCGGAGACUGGGAAGCCGGGUCCUGUUCCCCGGCGCUGGGCUCGCUGCGGGGGUCGGGGCCGCACGGCCGGGUCGGGGAUCCAGGUUCCGGGACGCGGAUUCUGGAUUAGGGGUUGCCGGGCUUCCGGCCGGCUCCGCGGGGUCUGGGUCACCGGGAGGCCGUGGCUGUGUUGGGGGCGCCCGGACGUCAGUCCCAGCAGCGCGAGGGACGAGGGCGCUCGUUAGUUCCACACAGAUUUACUUAUUAACGGAGUCUCGCUCUGUCGCCCAGGCUGGAGUGCAGCGGCGCGAUCUCGCCUCACCGCAACCUCCGCCUCCCGGGUUCACGCCAUUCUCCUGCCUCAGCCUCUCCGAGUAGCUGGGACUACAGGCGCCCGCCAGCACGCCCGGCUAAUUUUUUUUUUUUGUAUUUUUAGUAGAGACAGGGUUUCACCGUGGUCUCGAUCUCCUGACCUCGUGAUCCGCCCGCCUCGGCCUCCCAAAGUGCUGGGAUUACAAGCGUGAGCCACCGCGCUCGGCCGGCCUUUUUUUUUUUGAGACAGAGUCUCCCUCUGUCGCCCAGGCUGGAGUCCAGUGGUGCGAUCUCAGCUCACCGCAACCUCUGCCUCCCAGGUUCAAGUGAUUCUUCUGCCUCAGUCUCCGGAGUAGCUGGGAUUACAGGCACGCGCCACCACGCCCGGCCUUUUUUUUUUGUAUUUUUAGUAGAUAGUGUAGCAGGAAGAGCCGCAGACAAAACUCUUCAGACACCGAGUUAAAGAAGGAAGGGGUUUAUUCGGCCGGGGCCGUGGGCAAGACUCCAGUCUCAAGAGCUGAGCUCCCCGAGUGAGCAAUUCCUGUCCCUUUUAAGGGCUCACAACUCGGGGUGCGUGUGAGAGGGUCGUGAUCUAUUGAACAAGCAGGGGGUACGUGACUGGGGGCUGCAUGCACCGGUGAUGGGAACAGAACAGGACAGGGAUUUUCACAGUGCUUUUCUAUGUACAUGGAAUCUGUAGAUAACAUGACCAGUUAGGUCAGGGGUCGAUCUUUAACCAGGCCCAGGGCGUGGCACCGGGCUGUGUGCCUGUGGAUUUCAUUUCUGCCUUUUAGUUUUUACUUCUUCUGUCUUUGGAGGCAGAAAUUGGGCAUGAGAAAAUAUGAGGGGUGGUCUCCUCCCUUAACAGAGUUUCGCCAUGUUGGGCAGGCUGGUCUCAAACUCCUGACCUCAGCUGAUCCCCCCCUGCCUCAUGCUUGUUAUUUUGACACAGUCUCACUCUGUGGCCCAGGCUGGAGAGCAGUGGCGUGAUCUCCACCUCCCGAGUUCCAGUGAUCCUCCUGCCUCGGCCUCCCAAAGUGUUGGGACCACAGGCACACGUCAUGCGUCUGGCCAGCACAUCUUUAUUGAGUGCCUGCGGUAUGCCAAGCGCUGUUUUAAGUGCCAAGGAGACAGCAGAGUGCAAAGUGGGCUGACCUCAGUCCGAAGGAGCUUCCAUUCCAGUGAGCAGCAGGGAAGAGAGACCAGGAGCCGGGCUAGUCAUGCCAUAAACCCCGGGCAUAAUACUGAGGCAGUGCUGUGCAGAGAAAUGGGGCAAAACGCCCUCACUUGCAGCGCACGCCACCUCGUAUUGUAAAGACUCCCAUCUUGGCUGCCAGUGUGAGCCAGCCAGCUCACAGAUCGCUGCGAACUUCACAGUGGGCCCAGGAGCUGGCAUGAUCAGCUCCAGCCCUGCUGCAAUAGCCUGGGCGACAGAGCAAGACUACAACAAGAAACAACAAUCAAUCAAUCAAUCAAUCAGUUCCAAGGAAGAUCUUGGAGGUGGAGAGAUUUGAUCAAGGCCUUCCCGUAGGGGAAGGGAGUUGGACCGGGUGUACCAGGCAGAAUGUACGCGAGCUGUGAUGGCGCCAGCCGGGAUGGCAGAGUGAGACCUCGUCUCUAGAGAAGACAACAGCGGGACUUGGAUCAGCAGCAGCCACAGCAGUCACGUCCGUCAUCUGGACUAUUGUAGAGCUUCGUUCCACUCGCCGGCUCAGCAGGUGCUCACUGUGCAUCUGUCUGCGCAGGCGGUGUUUGGGAUGCCCAGGGCGCCACGGGGCUCCGGCAUGCUCGGCUCCUGCCUCUUUGUGUUCCUAUGUGUGCACGCAUGUGUGUGCUCACCUGCCUGUGUGCUGUGCGGGCGUGUGUGUGUACCCGCGCCUGCCUGUGUGUGCCUCGUCUGCGUGUGCACCCACGUGGUGUAAACGUGCGCCUGCAUGUGUGUGUAUGUGUGUUACAUGGUAGAGCACGGCAGUGACCUUCCAUAAACAACUAAGCAGGUCAGCAGGUCUUCCUCCAGGUUGAGGUCGCAUCCGGCCUUUCAGGACCCUCCCUGCUCUCACUCCCGUCCACCCCACAGUGUCUGAGAAAAUCUUGUGAGUUCUGCCUCCAAGACAGGCCCAGAACCCACCUGCCCCUGACCAUCCCACGGCAGCCCCCAGCGCAGGCCCCGUGGUGCCCACCCGGGCUGGUGUGGUUGCCUCCCCCGGGCUUCCCUACCCCCACAUUCCUACCCGAAGUCGAUUCCUUCAGACCCAAGUCAGGCCAUGGCCUCCUCUGCUCCAGCAGAGGCCUCCGUGGCUCCCACCUUGCUCAGGGUAAACCAAGUCAGGCCGUGCCCUCCUCUGCUCCAGCAGAGGCCUCCGUGGCUCCCACCUUGCUCAGGGUAAACCAAGUCAGGCCGUGCCCUCCUCUGCUCCAGCAGAGGCCUCCGUGGCUCCCACCUUGCUCAGGGUAAAACCCUGUGUCCUCUCCGUGUCCUCAGGGCCCUUCACGACCUGCUGAGUCAGCCCCGCCCUCCCUCCUCCUGCUCUCCCCUCCUCACCCUGUGGCAGCCACCCUGGCCUCCUCACUGCUCCUCCGCCUCGCCAGGUGCGGUCCUGUCCCAGGGCCCUUGCACAGCGGUGCCCUCCCCAGACAUCCCGUAGAUGUCUGCACAGCUGGGCAUCCCUUAGAGGUCCUCACUUCCUUCAGGCCUUUGCUAACGUUUCACCUCUUCAGGGGCCUUCCUGGCCACCGUAUGUGAAGUCCCAACUCUCUGCCCUGAGGUUUCCUUUCUGUGAUCACGUCACUGCACACUCCAGCCUGAGCACAGACUGAGACCCUGUGUCAAAAAUAAGAGGCCGGGCGCGGUGGCUCACGCCUGUAAUCCCAGCACUUUGGGAGGCCAAGGCGGGCAGAUCACUUGAGGUCGGGAGUUCGAGACCAGCCUGACCAACAUGGAGAAACCCUGUCUCUACUAAAAAUACAAAAAUUAGCUGGGCAUGGUGGCGGGCACCUGUAAUCCCAGCUGCUCGGGAGGCUGAUGCAGGAGAAUGGUGUGAGCCCGAGAGGCAGAGAUUGUGGUGAGUCAAGAUCACGCCAUUGCAUUCCAGCCUGGCGACAAGAGUAAAACUGUCUCAAAAAAAAAGAAAAAAGAAAAGAAAAAAAUACAUAAAACAAGAGAGACAUGUGUUCACGGCAUUAUUUGCGGUUGUCCGAGCUAGAAGCAGCCUAGAAGCUCCGAGUAAAUCCUGGCAUCUUCAUGGGAUGGAGCGUUGCCCAGCAACAGAAGUGAGUGAUGGACAGGUGUCACCGACACCAGGACCGAUCUCACAGGCAGGGUGGGGGGUCUCAUGAGUGCACUGUCCCCUUCCUGUGCCGCACAGAAGAGGCAAAGCGGGGCCUGGCUUUACAGGCAGGAUGGCAGUUGAUGGGUGGAGGGAAGGAAGAUGGCUGCAGGAGCACCAGGGGCUUCCGGGGGGCUGGAG